AUGACGGUCCCAAGAAUCCCCGCAUUGUAAACAAUACUCCCACAGGCUUUCGUAUCACGUGGGAUUUGCCAGAGAAACAAUCUUGCUACGGACGAGCAGACAUUGUGAUCAUUCUCUCCAGGAAGACCGUAACAGGUGAAGAUUUACUGCAGACGUACUAUACGCCGGGUACCAGUAAUCACUUCGACAUUAUUGGGCUAAACCCGGAGACAGAAUACACACUGGGUCUUAAUAUUCAGACUCCCGGGACACCGGCAGAGCAGACAGACUUUCUAAAUACAAAGACGGCAACAAGCACAGCCGAUGGGCAUGAUGGAUCAAACAGUACUGCAGCUGCAACAACGAAAACAUGGGACCAAACAACAAGCACAGCCGAUGGGCAUGAUGGAUCAAACAGUACUGCAGCUGCAACAACGAAAACAUGGAACCAAAAAGCCGUUUGGUCCGUGAUAGCCAUACUGUUGCCAGUAGCAAUCAACUACUUCUGAACGAUGUCUGCAAGGCACAGACAUCAAUCACCGCUGAUUAUAUGAUGUGCAUUUUGUCAGAUGCAUCGUUUGCUAUGCUGCUUAGCUGCUCAUUUUUGUGGAUAACUUCUUGUCUGCAUAAGUUAACGAAUUAAACCCCCAAUGUAUCAUAACAAUUAAAAGUUCCUGAAAAUGCAUCGAUUCCAAUUAAAUAGUUUGCAGUCAUUUUCACUGAGCACUUAAUAUAUUGUAAUAAUUCUGUUUAUGUUUAUAUUCGUUUAAAUAUGAGUGUUUAAAUUUUGGUCACAAAAAAGU
Long non-coding RNA from Dreissena polymorpha, 782 nucleotides. RefSeq lists it as uncharacterized. The record is from RefSeq and is a predicted model, not a curated record. The transcript is spliced from 6 exons. NCBI's taxonomy places the organism in Eukaryota, Metazoa, Mollusca, Bivalvia, Myida, Dreissenidae.